Molecule: ribosomal RNA, 500 nt
Filed under: uncultured bacterium
Lineage: Bacteria
Description: SSU rRNA
Rfam family: Bacterial small subunit ribosomal RNA
Source: RNAcentral
AGAGCGAACGCUGGCGGCGUGCUUAACACAUGCAAGUCGAACGCGCAGCAUUCUGUAGCAAUACAGGGUGUGGGCGCGUGGCGAACGGGUGCGUAACACGUGGAUAACCUUCCUUCAGGUGGGGAAUAACCCAGUGAAAAUUGGGCUAAUACCGCAUAACAAAACGAUGAGACAUCUUGUUGUUUUCAAAGGCGCAAGUCGCCAGAAGAGGGAUCCGCGGCCGAUUAGCUUGUUGGCGAGGUAAUGGCUCACCAAGGCAAUGAUCGGUAGCCGGACUGAGAGGUUGGCCGGCCACACUGGAACUGAGACACGGUCCAGACUCCUACGGGAGGCAGCAGUGGGGAAUCUUGCACAAUGGGCGAAAGCCUGAUGCAGCAACGCCGCGUGGGGGAUGAAGCUUCUCGGAGUGUAAACCCCUUUCGACCCGGAAGAAAGCCCGCAAGGGUUGACGGUACGGGUAUAAGAAGCCCCGGCUAACUACGUGCCAGCAGCCGCGGUAA